UUGGGUUUUGCUUUGGCUUUUGCAGAAGGCAGUAGAGGAGCUGUGCUUGGCUAGAGUGUUCAUGCUGAUUAAGCAAAAUGUUGUUUUGGAUGCCUGCCUGGACAUAGCCAAGAAACCCAAGUAAAAGAGCAGAUCGUGAUGGGUGGAGCACCAUAUCCUGCCAUAUUUGAUUUUGUCUCCUGCUCCUCUGCUUUGCGGUCACCUCAGCCAUUCCCCAGGACCACAACAUAUGCUUCAGCUUUCCUCAGGUAACAGAGAGCUCUUUAUUUUAGCUCAAGAGCCUGAUCCCACUUAUACCUCUCCUAUGUCUGGUUUUGCCAUAAAUCCAGAAUGAUAACCCCACUGUACUGACAUAUUCACAAGAGGGACAUCAACAUUAUUUGUGGAGGAGUGGCACAAAAAUAAGACGUGGAAAUGCGUGGAGCUGAAAUCAGUGUAUAUAUUUCUCAAAACAUCUGUCUUCACAUGUCUUCAUCUGGGGAACCUUACCCAAAGAAAGCUGGGGAGAUCCCAGUGGGCCAGGAAAAUUUAAGGCUGG
RNAcentral lists this long non-coding RNA (538 nucleotides) under Anser brachyrhynchus (Pink-footed goose). RNAcentral describes it as "lncRNA (ENSABRG00000005154.1)". Lineage: Eukaryota; Metazoa; Chordata; Aves; Anseriformes; Anatidae. The record is from RNAcentral.